RNAcentral lists this ribosomal RNA (253 nucleotides) under uncultured bacterium. Its description in RNAcentral is "partial 16S ribosomal RNA". It matches the Rfam family "Bacterial small subunit ribosomal RNA", at positions 524 to 776 of the family's 1533-position model. The record is from RNAcentral.
UACGUAGGGUGCGAGCGUUAAUCGGAAUUACUGGACGUAAAGGGUGCGCAAACGGUUAUAUAAGACAGAUGUGAAAUCCCCGGGCUCAACCUGGGAACUGCGUUUAUGACUGUAUGACUAGAGUACGGUAGAGAGGAAUGGAAUUCCUGGUGUAGCAGUGAAAUGCGUAGAUAUCAGGAGGAACAUCGAUAGCGAAAACAGCCCCUUGGACCUGUACUGACGCUCAUGCACGAAAGCGUGGGGAGCAAACAGG